UUUAAUGAGAGUUUGAUCCUGGCUCAGGACGAACGCUGGCGGCGUGCCUAAUACAUGCAAGUAGAACGCUGAGGUUUGGUGUUUACACUAGACUGAUGAGUUGCGAACGGGUGAGUAACGCGUAGGUAACCUGCCUCAUAGCGGGGGAUAACUAUUGGAAACGAUAGCUAAUACCGCAUAAGAGUAAUUAACACAUGUUAGUUAUUUAAAAGGAGCAAUUGCUUCA
This 226-nucleotide ribosomal RNA is filed under the name Streptococcus agalactiae GB00226. Its description in RNAcentral is "partial 16S ribosomal RNA". It matches the Rfam family "Bacterial small subunit ribosomal RNA", at positions 1 to 217 of the family's 1533-position model. Lineage: Bacteria; Bacillati; Bacillota; Bacilli; Lactobacillales; Streptococcaceae. RNAcentral also lists the same sequence under 1 other name. The record is from RNAcentral.